CAUUAAGAAGCUAUGGAACAGCACUAGCCUUUUAAGCUAGAGACAGGGGACCCACCUCCCCCUUAAUGA
RNAcentral lists this transfer RNA (69 nucleotides) under Atrichornis clamosus. It matches the Rfam family "tRNA". From Rfam's summary of the family: Transfer RNA (tRNA) molecules are approximately 80 nucleotides in length. Their secondary structure includes four short double-helical elements and three loops (D, anti-codon, and T loops). The record is from Rfam by way of RNAcentral. RNAcentral also lists the same sequence under 1 other name. Lineage: Eukaryota; Metazoa; Chordata; Aves; Passeriformes; Menuridae.